This 449-nucleotide ribosomal RNA is filed under the name uncultured bacterium. RNAcentral describes it as "partial 16S ribosomal RNA". It matches the Rfam family "Bacterial small subunit ribosomal RNA", at positions 29 to 523 of the family's 1533-position model. The record is from RNAcentral.
AACGAACGCUGGCGGCAUGCCUAACACAUGCAAGUCGAACGAGAACUUCGGGUCUAGUGGCGCACGGGUGCGUAACGCGUGGGAAUCUGCCCUUUGGUUCGGAAUAACAGUUGGAAACGACUGCUACUACAGAAUGAUGUCGAAAGUCCAAAGAUUUAUCGACAGAGGAUGAGCCCGCGUAGGAUUAGCUAGUUGGUGUGGUAAAGGCGCACCAAGGCGACGAUCCUUAGCUGGUCUGAGAGGAUGAUCAGCCACACUGGGACUGAGACACGGCCCAGACUCCUACGGGAGGCAGCAGUGGGGAAUAUUGGACAAUGGGCGAAAGCCUGAUCCAGCAAUGCCGCGUGAGUGAUGAAGGCCUUAGGGUUGUAAAGCUCUUUUACCCGGGAUGAUAAUGACAGUACCGGGAGAAUAAGCUCCGGCUAACUCCGUGCCAGCCGCCGCGGUAA